UUGGUUAACUUCACACUAGAGUGAUCUCCAUCUGUUUAGAACCUCAGAAAAAUCCCGUCUAGUAUGAAGGAUGGGCAAGACUUUAGACUGCUUGUUUUAUCUGAACUGGAUUAUUUACCCUUAAUGCACACCAUUGUUUUAGACGUCUGUGCUGUUAGCUGCUGAAGUGCAAACUUGGAACAAGGGCCAGCGCUUGCUACAGGUCUGAAUUUGGCCCAGAAUCCUGAAUUUAGGGGCUGGCAGGUUAGAGAAGAAGGAAUUGCUUUUCAAAUAUUUUGUUUUAAACUAUGAGUAUUCUCCAUAGGCUAUCAAAGCUUUGUUAUUACGAAGAGGCUGUUAGCAACAGAAUUUACUUGAAACAACAACUGAGGAUUUGACAAGGGAGGCAGAGAUGUUGAUAAAAAUGAAUCCGAUCUGGAGCUCAAGUUGAUAGGAUGAAUUCACGUGCAGGUUUCCUCUUCAUGGAGCAAUCAACAAGGUCUUUGUCCUUUGAUGUUCACAAUGGCUCAUUUGGUUUCAAUGGAUCCUCUUGUGGGCAGGACCUAACAUCUUCUGUAGGAAGCCAGCGUUUUACACCAAUUAAUGCUUCUUUUCUGUUUGGUCAAAAGUCUGGAGGCUGAUUCUACUCUGACACCACCAUUUUACAAGGGACUGACUUUGUUAGUGUCACCAGAGAUACUCCUGAUCUGCACCUCUGUCACUCAUUGCAGCCUGAAAAGAUGGGAAAACUUCCCCACCGCUUCAGUCAUGGUUAAAUCAGAAUACAAACACGUCUGACAAAAAUAAACUGGCUCUUUGGAUUUUCUGAGAUGUCAGCUAUGGCCUGUGUGCAUAACGGCCAAUAUGCCAGAGAGUACUUAAAGUCACUGGUCACAGUGUAGAGUAAUGAAAUUAAACCAGGUCUCAAAGAGGAUGUGAAAAGAAUACUCUUCUACCGUGACUCAACUGAAUUAUUUCUUUUAAAUAAAAACUACCAUGUUAAUCUCA
Molecule: long non-coding RNA, 987 nt
Organism: Malaclemys terrapin pileata
Lineage: Eukaryota; Metazoa; Chordata; Testudines; Emydidae
Exons: 4
Source: RefSeq, a predicted model, not a curated record